UAAGGAAUAUUGCUCAAUGGGAGAAAUCCUGAAGCAGCAACGCCGCGUGGAGGAUGAAGGGUCUAUGACUUGUAAACUCCUGUAAAGAAGGAAAAAAUUCCCAUUUGAUGGGAGAUGAUGGUACUUCUGGAGUAAGCCCCGGCUAACUACGUGCCAGCAGCCGCGGUAAUACGUAGGGGGCAAGCGUUGUCCGGAUUUACUGGGUGUAAAGGGUGCUCAGGCGGAUUUGUAAGUCAGAGGUGAAAUCUUACAGCUUAACUGUGAAACUGCCUUGGAUCCUGCAAGCCUAGAGUAUGGAAGAGAGUGAUGGAAUAUCUGCUGUAGCAGGGAAAUGCGUAGAUAUCAGAUAGAACACCAAUGGCGAAGGCAGUCACUUGGUCCAUUACUGGCGCUAAAGCACGAAAGCGUGGGUAGC
This 415-nucleotide ribosomal RNA is filed under the name uncultured bacterium. RNAcentral describes it as "bacterial SSU rRNA". It matches the Rfam family "Bacterial small subunit ribosomal RNA", at positions 355 to 769 of the family's 1533-position model. The record is from RNAcentral.